AGAAAAAGAAAAUUUUAAAAUUGUACCUUUUGUAUCAGGGGUAAUCAAAAAUAAAAAUAGGACUAAUCGAUUUAACCGGACCUUUUUAUUUGCUUGUUGUAGUAUUUAAGAGUAAAAAUUUUUAAGGGAUAAAAAGUCUUCGUUGGUUUUGGUAUCUAAUUGUUUUAAAUUUUAGGGGUUAAGCUCUUAUAGGGUUUAUGUUAAAAAAUAAUUAAAAAAACUAGGCUUUAAAUUAGCCAAGUUAGUAUAUUGUUUUAAAUAAUUUUUUUUUAAGAAAAUUUUUGUAAAGUUAUAAGUACUAUACUAGUAUUUAAUAUUUAGUAAAAAUAAUGGUUGUAUUGAAUAAAUAAUGAAAUUAAGAAAUAACUCGGGUUAAGUUAGAAUGUUUAACAAAAACAUUUUUAUUCGGUUAAAAAAUAGUAAGGCCUGCCCAGUGAAAAUUUAACGGCUGCGGUAUUUUGACUGUGCUAAGGUAGCAUAAUCAUUUGUUUCUUAAUUGGUAGCUGGAAUGAAAGGUUAAACUAGCUUAUGUAGUUUGUAAAGUUAGUUAAGAAAUUAAAGUCAAGGUAAGAAUUCUUUGAUUUUCUAGGGGACGAUAAGACCCUAGAAGCUUUAUAAUUAGAGUAUUUUUUAGUAGUUAAUAUUAAUUUGUUUCACUGGGGCGGUGUAAGUAAAUGAACUAUUGUAAAUUUAGUAGAUCCUUAUUAUUAAGAAAAGAUGGAAAAGUUACUCUAGGGAUAACAGUGCGAUAUUUUUGGAGAGACCUUAUCGAUAAAAAUGUUUGCAACCUCGAUGUUGAAUUAAGAUUUCUACAUGAAGCAGAAAGUAUGGAAGAGGGUUUGUUCAACC
This 849-nucleotide ribosomal RNA is filed under the name Gammarus sp. 1 ZH-2007. Its description in RNAcentral is "partial 16S ribosomal RNA". The stretch from base 560 to 849 matches the Rfam family "Bacterial large subunit ribosomal RNA", at positions 2046 to 2586 of the family's 2925-position model. Lineage: Eukaryota; Metazoa; Arthropoda; Malacostraca; Amphipoda; Gammaridae. The record is from RNAcentral.